Ostrea edulis (European flat oyster) is the source of this 576-nucleotide long non-coding RNA. RefSeq lists it as uncharacterized. The record is from RefSeq and is a predicted model, not a curated record. Lineage: Eukaryota; Metazoa; Mollusca; Bivalvia; Ostreida; Ostreidae. The transcript is spliced from 2 exons.
CUUACAGUUGUGAUGAGCUUUCACUUUUGAAGUGAAAACGUUGAAGACCGACUUUAAUAGAUAUUCUGUGGAUAUUACGGUGUUAACAGAAGACUGAAGUGGAGGAACAUGAAGAACAGGGCAGCAGUCGUCAGGUGUAGGCAAAUCAUUUAUAGAUAGGACAGAGAACACAGCUCAGAUGAAUCUCCGGAAAGAACUGAACAUCGCAGAGAAUGUGGAAAUGCACGAAGUUUUCUAACGACGCCUCGCUUCGAUGUCCCGACAUAAACUUGGAAACCGACAUCAAUCACCUAUUGGCUGCUGUGGCACGGAGGCAGUGCGGUGUGUAGGUCUUAAUGCACUUUGACGACUUAUAGGCCAUACAUCCUGUGAAUGACAUUUUUGCUAAAGCCUAAUGUCAUCGUGUAGCAGUAGGUACAGUUCCGCAUCACCGAUGACACGGGUGAAGUUCACUGAUGUUGUAGCAGACGAAAUUUUAGACAUACAUUAUUAGUAAGACAUUGUUUACAGAAAUGCUUUUGAUCAAUUAUUGAUGUAAGUCCACUGCUUGCAAUACAAAUAAAACCAUAAAUACAU